AUUGAACGCUGGCGGCAUGCCUUACACAUGCAAGUCGAACGGCAGCACGGGAGCAAUCCUGGUGGCGAGUGGCGAACGGGUGAGUAAUAUAUCGGAACGUGCCCAGUCGUGGGGGAUAACGCAGCGAAAGCUGUGCUAAUACCGCAUACGAUCUACGGAUGAAAGCGGGGGACUCGCAAGGGCCUCGCGCGAUUGGAGCGGCCGAUAUCAGAUUAGCUAGUUGGUGAGGUAAAGGCUCACCAAGGCGAUGAUCUGUAGCUGGUCUGAGAGGACGACAAGCCACACUGGAAGUGAGACACGGGCCAGACUGCUACGGGAGGCAGCAGUGGGGAAUGUUGGACAAUGGGCGCAAGCCUGAUCCAGCAAUGCCGCGUGCAGGAUGAAGGCCUUCGGGUUGUAAACUGCUUUUGUACGGAGCGAAACGGUCUCUUCUAAUACAGGGGGCUAAUGACGGUACCGUAAGAAUAAGCACCGGCUAACUACGUGCCAGCAGCCGCAGUAA
RNAcentral lists this ribosomal RNA (502 nucleotides) under uncultured bacterium. RNAcentral describes it as "partial 16S ribosomal RNA". It matches the Rfam family "Bacterial small subunit ribosomal RNA", at positions 29 to 523 of the family's 1533-position model. The record is from RNAcentral.